UGCAGGAUGUUCUUAAUGGUGUGAAGCCUUUUGGGAAAACCUGUAUGGGCUUGAUCCAAAGCAGACAAUUCAUUCUAUGCGAAGAGUAUCUUUGGGAUGACUUAGCCUAAUAUAACACAUUCAGACCAAAGAACAGUUCUUGUUAUUUUGUGAAUGCUUGAGCUUGUAGCAUGCAAACAUAGCCAUGCAUUUCCUGAAACUAGAGUACUAGACAUAAACUGAUAAAUAUAUAUAUACACACACAAGCUUGAAACAAGCUGAUUGCUCAAAGACAUUAUGCCCUUUUGCCUUUUUUUUUUUGGGCACGGCACACAAGGACAGAAACACACAAAGAACCAAAAAUGAAAAAAAAGAAAGAAAAGAGGAGAAACAACCCUCACUGUUAUAUCAACUUGUAUCAAAUAUCAUUAUGGAGAUGGAUAAUAAGGAGUGGCAAUCAAGUAAAGCUCACUCUUUCUUGCUGCAGUUAUUCCAGAAACCUCAGUCAUGUCCAUAUCCUCUGACUUCUGACCAUCAGGCAAUUUCCAAUCAAAAUGAUAGAGCAAUUUGGCUAGUGGAAGAUGAACAUUGAUCAAACCAAAUGUAAUUCCAGGACACAUUCUCCUUCCGGCACCGAAAGGAAGAAACUCAAAGUUAUUCCCCAUGAAAUCCACAGAGCUCUGCUCGAAUCUCUCAGGUAUAAAGCUUUCCGCAUCUUCCCAAUACUUUGGGUCCCUUCCCAUCGACCAAACAUUAACCAUGACUCUUGUUUUUAAUGGGAUAGUGUAUCCGUUGAUGUUUGUUUCUUCCCUGCAUUCUCUGGGGGCUAAGAGAGGGAGUGGAGGAUGAAGUCUGAAGGUUUCUUUAACAACUUGUUUUAGGUAUUUCAAUUCCUCAAUAACAUCCUCAUCGAAAGUUUCUUUCCCUUUGAAUGCUUCUCUUACUUCUGCUUGUGCCUUUUUUAACACACUUGGGUUCCUCAUCAUUUCUGUCAUAGCCCAUGUUGCUGUUGUUGAUGAAGUUUCUGUUCCCGCAGAGAACAAGUCCUACAUUAUUUCAUUAUUAAUCAAAGAAGAAUUAACCUAAAUUGGGCUGCAGUAAGUAGAUCAAGAGGUCGUUCUGCUCCUUCCCAGUAUGUAUAAUAUACUUGUCAAAGUUGAAGGCAUUUCUUUAAUGCCUGAUUAAUUAUGUGUAUGUCUGCUUACAAAAGAAUGUUAAAUACUUUUUAUAUUCAGUAACUCAAAAAUAGUUUUAGAGAUUUUCCCUAUAAGUUUAAGAAUACUUACAACCAUAAUUGCUUUGAUGUUGUCAUUGGUGAUUGGGAUUUUGAGUUCCCCACUCUCCAUUAAUCUUAGAAGAACAUCAAUUAAAUCUUCACCUCCAAAUGCACCAUUUCCCUUUUUACCACUUGCAAUAUUCUUCUUGUGCUCAUUGAUAACAUCCUCAACAAUAACAUCAACAUUUUUGUGAACUUUCAAGAUUCUACUCCUCACUCCACUUAGUACAUGAAGGAUCUUGAUUGAAGGGAAAAUGUCAGCCAAACUAAAUCCACCUGCCAAUUCCAUCAAUUCCUUCACCAUUUCAAUGAAUUUCUCUUGGUCUUUCAACAACUGAUUCCCAAAUGCUGCCUUACAUGUAACUGAACUCGCGUACCAUAAAAUCCGUUCCGUAACAUUUAUUGGCUCACCAUGUGUCGAUGACUGGAUGAAUUGCACGAGACGAGAUGCCUCGUCGUGCCAGAUGGAACUAAAGGACCGGACAUUCUUGGCGGUGAGGAGUUCCAUGACACAUACUUUACGCAUUUGUCUCCAGUAUUCUCCAUAAGGACUAAACACUAUGUCUGUGCUCUUGUAACAUAUUAUGUCGAUGGAUGCUACUUUAGGCCUCGAUGCAAAAGCAAGGUCAUGAGUUUUCAAUACCUCUCGCGCCAUGUCCAUGGAAGAAACUACGAUCAUAGAAAUUUCCCCUAGUUGAAGGUGCAUGAGAGGCCCAUAUUUUUUUGCCCAAGUUUGUGAGUGCAUGAUGAGGAAGUUCACCUUCUAAUGCUAAGUGAUGAAGACUUCCUAAGAAAGGCAAUUUCCAUGGUCCUGGAGGAAAUUUUUUGUUAAAGUUUCUUGAUUUUUUCCAUUCAACAAGUAGUAGAUAGAGGAAUGAUAGGAAAAGAAAUAAGAGAAUGAAAUUGAAUGGAAAUUGGAACUCCAUUAGAUAGCUAAAGCUAAGAGAGGGGUGUCUCUCAAAUCUCAAGUUCAAUGCUUUGUUGUAGAGUGCUAUCUUUUGACCUUAUGCUAGUGCCAGAGGGAAAUGAUCCAAGGGUUAGGGCUAUCUUUUGGCCCAUCCAAAUGCCAGAGAGAAAUGAUCCAAGGGUUAGGCUAUCUUUUGGCCUAUCCUUGAAGAUAUUUUCCUUAAAAAUAAGUAGUUUUCUUAUAUAGUUUGUUUUUAAUAUUGAAAAGCAGAAAAAAUGUAAAAUCUAAACAAACACUAUGAAAUAAGAUUGGGGGUGGCGGUGGGUAGGAUUGAAAUGUCUGAAACUUGUUUUUAUGCUUUUAUUAGAAUAACUUUUUUUUUUCGAUUUUGGAGCGAUAGGAUUUUAAUUACUUAAUACUUAGCUUCUAACAAGAUUCUGACACAUAUCAUAUUUUCCAGCCACACGUAGAGCCUCCAAGACGAAGACGAUUUGUAUUAUUGAUUAACUGCCACAUAGGCAUGACAAAAUCUAUUUGCCGAUGCAGUGUCGGAUGCUAAAAUAUCUUUGGUUUUAUUUGGAACAAACUACGAGCUAUACAUUACUCAUGUUAAUUCGUCAGCAGCAUCGUAAGUUUGUGUACUGUUUUUUUUUUAUAUAUAUAAUAGUAACGAUAAUUUGUGUUAUGCAUGGCCUCAGUAAUAUAAUUCUAAUUACAUUUGAUUAUACUUUUUAUGAUAUGUGAUUCAUAUUUGAAGGUGCUACUAUUUUUACGAUAAAAUGUUGAUUUUCAAGCAAAUUUUUUUCGUCUUUUAUCAGAAACAAAAACAACAUGCAAAUAGAUAAACAAUAUGUUCAGCUUUACAUAUUAAUUACCUAUUUCCAAAUAAAAUUAUACAUCAAUUAAUAUGAAUAUUAUGAAUUUUUUUUUCAUAUUAAUUACUUUAUUAAUUUAAAAUGCAUACAAAAUUUAAAGACGACAAAUAAAAAUGAGUACAAAUAUAGAUGACGGAAGAAAAUAUCUUUGAUUUCAUUUAGAAUUUAUAAGAAAACAUAAUUAGUUUUAUUUAAAAUUUGUUAAAAUAUUAUCUAUUUAUUAACAAUAUAUAAGUGAAAACAAGUUAGCUAUUAAUAAUAUUAAUAUAUAAGUAAGAACAAGCCAAACAAGUAACGAUCAAGCAGACAUAUUGUCCACCAAGUACGUGUUUAUCCACACUUAUCUAUUAAUAUAUAAAAUAAAUAGUGGAAGUGGAGGUGGAUAUUUGACUUUUAAUGCAUCAAUAAUGUCAUCUUUUCCUAUAGAGAAAAUACAUCAAAUCACAUUUAAACUUAACAACAAAAGUUACUUUGACACUUUAAUUAUACUGAUAUUUAUUUACCCCUUAACAAUUUUCAAAUGAAUUAAAUACGACCUAAUUGAGAGAGUGAACCUACUCUCCUAAAAACGUGUGAAGAAAGAAAAAAGAAAAACUGAAAUUACAAGAUUAUAUGUGUCAUUGUAUUAUUGGCCAACAUAUAAAUAAUAUUUUAAAUCUUUUUUCUUGAUAUAUUAACUUUUAAAAUUAUGUGAAUUUUCUUAUAUAGAGAUAAUGGAAUUUAUGAGUCCCAUUUAAAUAAAAUUUUAAUUUUUUUCUCUUUAAUUGUUAUUGACAUCGAUUUUAUGAAAUUCAGUACUAACAUCAUUGUUACAACCAUUAAUUCCACAACAUCCACUACCAAUAGUAAUAAUAAUAAUGGAGAAGAAUGGAGUCAUGAGGAAUACACAUUCCUAAAUAAUCAAUUUUAUAAUAUCUACAUCGAUUCACAAUACCCAUUAAGAAGACACAUUCUUAGAUCCAUAAUUUUAAUUAAUGUUCUUGCAGUUUCAAUCUAACCAAUAAAAAUAGUGAAUGAAGAUCGUAUAAGAAAGUUGAAAGAUUCAUAUUUUUUGCAUCACCAAAUAAUAGAAGCUCAAGAAACGGGUCACUUAAAAUUCAAGAAAAAAUACAUUUAUAAAAUGUAAUCAUCAGGAUUUUACUUAUGAUUUUUGGUAGAAAUCUUGUUGAUAAAAUGUAUGAAGCUUGAGACUAUAGCUAAAGAAACUAUUGUUGAAAGAAAUUAGAUUCAAUUUUCGGUUGGCAUUGUUGAAAUGAUUUAUCUUCAAUUUUUGACUGCCAUUACUGAGGAUUUACCUCCAAUUUGGUACUGAUGAUAAAUCUCUUUGUUAAAUAAAUGAGCCAACAUAAUUUUUGAAAUUAAUUAGUUUAGUGUAUAUAAGUUAAAAAAAGAUAUAUUUAAAGAAAACGAAAAAAUGGUGAAUAAACAGUAAGAAAUAAAAAAUUAAUGAUGUGACGCUUAGAUGGCUAUGACGUCAUGCUUAUAUUGCUAUGACAUGACGGGUGAGAGUAGUAUUUUAAUCUGAGGGUGGUAUUUAAUUCAUUUGAAGGUUGUUAAGAGGGUAAAUAAAUGUCCGUAUAGUCAAAGUGCUAAAGUAAAUUUUGUUACCAAAUUCAGGGUGAUUUAAUGUAUUUUCUCUGAAUAAAUCAUGACAUAAUACUAUAGUACAUGAUUUCAGUGGGGCUACCUGUAAAGCGGCAACUAUAUAUUAUUCCCUUUGUUCCAUUUUAUGUGAUACUAAUUCUUUUUUAGUACAUUCAAAAAAUGUCACCUUACUAUAAUUAGAAAUAUUUUAACUUUAAAAUUUCUCUUUAAACCUUAAUGAAAUGAUUUUCGACCACACAAAUAUCUAAGGAUAGUUUUAAGAGCAACUUUCACAUAUAGCAAACAUAAAAAUCAUAUUUGUAUGUUAUAGCUAUAGUUUGCAUUAUUACGCUCUAUAACAAAUUUUAUGUUUGCUAUGGAGCUUUUGAUUUGUAUAAUUCGCUAGAUACAUCCAAUUUUAUACAAAUUGUUCAGUUUUGUAUAAAUUCAUUUAUACAUUGUAAUUUGUAUGAUAAGAUCUGUAUUUGUAUAAUUAUAAGUGUAUAGGACAAAAGUCUAUGUAUUUGUAUUUGUAUAUACACUUUUCUCUCGCUUUAUACAACACAAACACAUUUUAUACAUUUUAUACCGAAUGUGUAAUUGUAUCGAAAAUGGCUAAUUGUAUACCGAAUCAGAUGACAAAAAAUGGGAUGUUUGCUGCAAAUUACAAAUAAAAUAAACUAUGGCUAAAUAUGAUAUUAAUUCAUUUGAGAUUAUCGAUGAGAGAUGAGAGUUAAAAACAUAAUAUAUAUAAUUAGUGGGAGUUUACAUUUACCUAAUGAAGAGUUUGAGGUAAUUUAUGUAUACUAAUAUGAUGAUUUACUAUUUACUAUUUAAUUUAUUAAAUAAUUUAUAACAUUUAAAUGUAAUGUAGAAAUAAAACUAUAAUCUAAGGAUAAAAUAUGUAAAAGAAUUCAAAUAUAUUAAAUGUUUAAUGGAAAAUCAUUUUGAUUAAUUAUUAAAAAAUUCAUAGUAACUAUGAUUAUGAAAAAUCAUCACUAUUACUGCGUGGAAGAUGUAAAGAUUGUUGGUUUUUUACUGCUAAUAAUAACUUACAAUUUAAUAAUGAGUAUUGAAUUGUAAGUCUAGCUGAAAAUAGGAGUGUUAAUUAUCAUAAUACGAACAGUUAAAAUUCAUUGAAUCCCAAAAUAAAUAUUAAAUAAAAAAAAUAAUAUUUUAAAUAAUUUCAAGAAAAUAAAUCAAUAGCAUCUACGUGUCAUAGCCACAUAAUGCAUGAUAGAAACGGUCAGCUGCUAAAAUAGAAUAAACUUUGGUUUUAUUUGAAACAAACUACGAGCUAUACAUUACUCAUGUUUUUUUGUCGUCAACACCUUCCGAUAUUUUCAGAACUUGCAUCUCUGUCUUUUUCUUUUAAAAAAUAAAUGAAUUUGUGAAUAAACAUUGAGUCCGUGCACAAUACGGAUGUUUCACUCUUGAACUUGACUCGAAAAGUCAGUUACACAGUUAAACUAUCAUAACGAUCUAUUACACAUUUUUAUUGUUUAAAAAUGAUAUUUUUUACCCCUAAAACUGACGUGGCAAAAAAUAAAAAAAGAAAAGCGCGUUUGACAGUAAAUAAAGUAAAAAAAAUAAAUUAAAAUCUUCUUUUUAAUAUCACCCUACCCCGCCCUCCACCCACAACCCAACGCCUCUUCUUCUUCUUCAUAAGCAACCAUCUUCUUCUUCUUUAUUUUUUUUCAUCAUUUUUUCAUACCCAAUUUUCAUCCACCCCACUAUACCUUCACCAAAAUCCUCUCCCCCACCCCACCCCAUCAUAUCCUAUUUUAAUGCUUAUUCGAUUUCACCAUUUUUCAUUAUAUUUGAUUUUUCUCUUCGGCUUUGUUGGUGGUUGAUAAAAUUGAUGAUUAAGUUUAAAAAAUAAAGUAUAAUGAUGGAUUUGUUGGCGUGGGUGACAAAGAAGCGGGAAUUGAAGGUGGUGGAGAAGAAAAAUUCGAUAUUGACAAUGGUGGUAGUGAUAUUUGGUGGUGGGUUUGUACCUUUUGAUGGUGAUGAUGUAAUUUUGGUGAUGAGUUUGUUUAUGGGUGUCAAAUUUUGUUGUGGAUCUUUCUAAUUUUUGUGGGGAUAAUGGUGAUAGUAUGAUUUCGAUGGUGGAUUUGAUCAUAGGUGGUGAAAUUUUUGGUGACUAUUUUGAUUUUCAUGGUGGAAUAUAUAGAUUUGGUAGUAACAUGACGAUAAUAGUAGUGGUUUCAUGGUGGUGUUCAUUGAAGAAGAUACAAUUGAAUGAUAUGGAGUAUUUUAGUCAAAAUUUGACAUGACAUCUAAUGUGACAGUGACAUGACAGUAAUGUGGCGCAAAUGUGAUACAUCUCCCAUUGUGAGAGUGGUGCUACACGUUUUAGAGGUAAAAAAAAUUCACUAUUUAGUAGCAGAUGUGUGUAAUAAGUCACUAUAUUAGUUUUGUCACGCCUCAAAUUUCAUUAAGACGGACAGGCACCCGAUGCCCUAAAGGCCCGAGUGAACCAACAUGUAACCUGUGCUUACUAUGCAUAUAACUAUGACAAUCUUGUGACAAGUUCACAUAUGAUGCAGCGAUACAAACCAACAUAAGUAGACCCAAAAUUUAUAUACAAGACUUGGCCGUUGAGGCCACAACUUGUUAAGAUGCAAUUGAACUAUAUACAUAAGUCUACAAAGCCUCUCAAAGAUAGAAAAUCUUAGAGUAGGUCGGGACGGACCUCGCCUUACCCUUAACUACGAUACAAUACCAAGAUGAAUCUACCAAGGACUUAGUAAAGCUCCGAAUCAACCUGGAGCUCACCAAAAGUAGCUGAGUGUCGUGUGCUCCUAUUGAGGAGAACUACUAGCUGGAGUACCUGUGCCUGUAGCAUGAAAGGCAACGUCCCCCUUGAGGAACGUCAGUACUAAAAAAAUGUACUAAAUAUGUAAGGCAAUAACAUAUAUAAAAUAAGAGUUCAAAUGAAACCAAGUAUCAAUAUAUGUGCAUAAAUCAGAAUAGAAGACCACCUUUGUUAACUCUUGUGGGAUCAUGUAUGUUACAUUCUUGUCUUUACCUUUCUGUGUGUAAUGAUCUUUAUAAGACAUGUGAUACGAAUGACCAACUGAUCAGUGGUAUCAGAGCAGGUCAUCCUAGGGAGUCUACAAAGUCGUGUCUGUGUAGAGUCUUGCUUAUGGAUGUGUUGUGCACCACAUUUAUAAACAUGAGGCUACGGGACAUGUAGGAGUUGUCUCCUUUCUUUCAUUUCUUAGAUCGUGCGAUAGAACCAGUGUUGUAGGCGAUUCAUAUCUAAUUUCUCAAUUGUUUUAUUAUAGCAAAGAUGCCGGUUACGAGAAGGAGUAAAAGUACUGGUAAACGAGUAGAUGUGGCUGCCCAAGAAGGGACCAGCCAACCACCACCUAGUCAAGCUGUUCAAAGUGAGGCUCAAGAUGAGUCUCUAUCACAGACUUUUCCGACCACUCCAUCUCCAGAAGAUCUAAGGAGAGAAGCUGCACCUCAAGAACCCACUAUUACUGCUACCGAGCAAGAUUUGAGAAACGCAGUCCAGUUAUUGACUCGUAUAGUUGCUGGCCACGACCAAAGGCGAGAAGGUCCAGUUGCAGGUAUUAGUGGUGUAGAUAAAGCAGCUGGCACGCGGAUACGUGACUUCCUUAAUUUGGACCCUCCAUCAUUCACCGGGUCAGAUCCUAAUGAAGAUCCACAGGACUUUAUAGAUCAAAUCCAACGCACUUUGGAUGUUAUGCAUGUAAGUGGUAAAGAAGCGCUUGAGCUAGCAGCAUAUAGAUUAAAGGGUGUGGCUAUAUUGUGUUGUAUAUGAAGCUUCUCAUCAGUAAAUCUACCUGCAUAGUAGUUUACUUUCUCAUCAUAGGUCACUUGUAAAACAUGUGUUCAUAUGGUACUUGUCCGCUUCACCUAGGGUUGGGGUGUGACAAGUUUAAACGGGUAACUGACUUUUCGAGACAAGUUCGGAGGUGAAUUUAUGCCUUUUCCCUUUCUAAUAUAGAUCGAUUAGAUCAAAUAUUUGAAUACAAUUGUUAAAAGAUGUGGGACCAUUUAGUUUGCCAUAAAAUCUUAUAUAUAUGGCAGCUGACUAUACAAUUGUUAAAAUUCGCGUGACAACUUAGUUUUCCCGUAAAAUCUUAUCUACAUGACAAUUGACACAUUAAUUGACUUGUUUUGAUAAAUAGUUAGUUAAGCAAAAUUGAAAAGAGAAUGAUACUUAUGAGUUCUUUUUUUUCUAUUUCUUAGUGAAAUAUCAGUACUUAUGUGCUUGUGUAAUAAUGAAGUUGAUCAAAUGUAUGUUAUGUAAUAAUGAAGUUAAUCAUGGCACCAGAGUUCAAUAUUAGUUGUAUCUACUACAUGAGUUAUGGAUAGCCAACUGGAAUAGUUUUUGCUCUUUUCAUCCUGUUUUAAGAGUGCAUAUCUGUGUAUAUCAGAGUAUUUUUCGUUUAAGGGAUGUGCGAACAUCAAUAGCUGAAAGGCAAAAGAAGCUACAUAUGAAAAGCCUUUUGGGAAAAUCCGUACGGGCUUGAUCCAAAGUAGACAAUUCAUUCUAUGCGAAGAGUAUCCUUUGGAUGACUUAGCCUAAUAUAACAUAUUAGCCUAAUAUAACACAUUCAGACCAAAGAACUUCAUCAAAAAAAAAAAAAAACACAUUCAAACCCAAAGAACAGUUCUUGUUAUUUUGUGAAUGCUUGAGCCUGUAGCAUGGAAACUUAGCCAUGCAUUUCCUGAAACUAGAGUACUAGACAUAAACUGAUAAAUAUAUAUAUACACACACAAGCUUGAAACAAGCUGAUUGCUCAAAGACAUUAUGCCCUUUUGCCUUUUUUUUUUUGGGCACGGCACACAAGGACAGAAACACACAAAGAACCAAAAAUGAAAAAA
Molecule: long non-coding RNA, 9484 nt
Filed under: Solanum tuberosum (potato)
Lineage: Eukaryota; Viridiplantae; Streptophyta; Magnoliopsida; Solanales; Solanaceae
Description: long non-coding RNA (STUB_LNC010256)
Source: RNAcentral